Molecule: ribosomal RNA, 459 nt
Filed under: uncultured bacterium
Lineage: Bacteria
Description: partial 16S ribosomal RNA
Rfam family: Bacterial small subunit ribosomal RNA
Source: RNAcentral
CCUACGGGUGGCAGCAGUGAGGAAUAUUGGUCAAUGGCCGGAAGGCUGAACCAGCCAAGCCGCGUGAAGGACGAAGGUGCCAAGCAUUGUAAACUUCUUUUGUCAAGGGACAAAAUCAGGCUCGAGAGCCUGACCGAGGGUACUUGAAGAAAAAGUAUCGGCUAACUCCGCGCCAGCAGCCGCGGUAAUACGGAGGAUGCGAGCGUUAUCCGGAUUUAUUGGGUUUAAAGGGUGCGUAGGCGGGCUGUUAAGUCAGCGGGAAAAGCCCGGGGCUCAACCCCGGCGAGCCGUUGAAACUGGCUGUCUUGAGAUGUCGAGAGGUAUGCGGAAUGCGCAGUGUAGCGGUGAAAUGCUUAGAUAUUGCGCAGAACUCCGAUUGCGAAGGCAGCAUACCGGCGGCGAUCUGACGCUGAGGCACGAAAGCGUGGGUAUCGAACAGGAUUAGAUACCCGGGUAGUC